This 450-nucleotide ribosomal RNA is filed under the name uncultured bacterium. RNAcentral's name for it is "partial 16S ribosomal RNA". It matches the Rfam family "Bacterial small subunit ribosomal RNA", at positions 338 to 795 of the family's 1533-position model. The record is from RNAcentral.
CCUACGGGGGGCUGCAGUGGGGAAUUUUGCGCAAUGGGCGAAAGCCUGACGCAGCAACGCCGCGUGGGUGAUGAAGGUCUUCGGAUCGUAAAACCCUGUCGUUGGGGACGAAGGUGGGGGCGUUAAUAGCGUUUCUGCUUGACGGUACCCGGAGAGGAAGCCCCGGCUAACUCUGUGCCAGCAGCCGCGGUAAUACAGAGGGGGCAAGCGGGGCUCGGAGUUAUCGUAGGUGGUGGGCGAGGAGGCGGGUGGAAGCCCCGGGCUCAACUUGGGAACUGCAUCUGAGACUGGAAGGCUAGAGUACUGGAGAGGGUGGUGGAAUUCCUCGUGUAGCGGUGAAAUGCGUAGAGAUGAGGAGGAACACCAGUGGCGAAGGCGGCCACCUGGACAGUAACUGACGCUGAGGCGCGAAAGUGUGGGUAGCAAACAGGAUUAGAUACCCGAGUAGUC